Molecule: non-coding RNA, 124 nt
Organism: Lupinus albus (white lupine)
Lineage: Eukaryota; Viridiplantae; Streptophyta; Magnoliopsida; Fabales; Fabaceae
Source: the annotation of a GenBank genome assembly
AGGCAACCUCCUUGCUACAAUUAUAUGGCAUGAGGGGUGUUAUACUGCUCGUAAAUCAAUUGCUUUUGCUCUUCAGAUUUGCUGAGAUUAUCUCUGAAGCUGGUCUAGUAAGCUCUAGUACAAU